GAAAGUAAUAAAGAGCGUAUGGGGGAUGCCUAGGCUCUUGGAGGCGAAGAAGGACGUGGUAAGCUGCGAAAAGUCGCGGGGAUUUGCAAACGAGAAUUGAUCCGCGAAUAUCCGAAUGGGACAACCCGGCAGGCAGAAGGCCUGUCACCCAGCAAUGGGGGCUAACCCUCUGAACUGAAACAUCUAAGUAGGAGGAGGAGAAGAAAGAAACAUCGAUUUCCAAAGUAGCGGCGAGCGAAAUGGAAGGAGCCCAAACCGGUAUUGUUACGGCAAUGCCGGGGUUAUAGGACUGCGAGAUUCGAAGGACAAAGAACUGGAAAGAUUUGGAAAAGUCGACCAUAGAGAGUGAAAGUCUCGUACAGGUAAUUGAGUUCUAAGAUAGCAGUAUCCUGAGUAUGGCGGGACACGAGGAAUCCAGUCAGAAUUCGCCGGGACCACCCGGUAAGGCUAAAUACUCCCAAGAGACCGAUAGUGAACCAGUACUGUGAAGGAAAGGUGAAAAGAACCCCGAACAGGGGAGUGAAAAAGAACCUGAAACCAUACGCUUACAACCUGUCGGAGCGGCUUCGUGCCGUGACGGCGUGCCUAUUGAAUAAUGAGCCUACGAGUUACUAAUCACUGGCGAGGUUAAGUGCUAGGAAGCACGGAGCCGAAGCGAAAGCGAGUCUGAACAGGGCGUUUAGUCAGUGGUUGUAGACGCGAAACCUUGCGAUCUACCCUUGAGCAGGAUGAAGGUUGGGUAAAGCCAACUGGAGGUCCGAACGAAUAAGCGUUGAAAAGCUUCUCGAUGACUUGAGGGUAGGAGUGAAAGGCCAAUCAAGCUGGGAAAUAGCUCGUACUCCCCGAAAUGCCUUUAGGGGCAGCGUUGUAAUAAAGAGUCUACUGGAGGUAGAGCUACUGAUUGGAUGCGGGGGCUUCACCGCCUACCAAAUCCCGACAAACUCCGAAUGCCAGUAGUAUGAUUUACAGCAGUGAGCCACCGGGUGCUAAUGUCCGGUGACAAAAGAGGAACAACUCAGACCAGCAACUAAGGUCCCCAAGCGUAUGCUAAGUUGAACUAACGAUGUUUUGUUGCAUAGACAGCUAGGAUGUUAGCUUGGAAGCAGCUAUUCAUUCAAAGAGUGCGUAACAGCUCACUAGUCGAGCGACAAAGCGUGGAUAAUAAACGGGCAUCAAGCAUACCACCGAAGUUCUGGGCGCGAAAGCGCGGUAGGGGAGCAUUCCAUUCAGCGUUGAAGCAGCGUCGUGAGAUGUUGUGGAGCGUAUGGAAAAGCAAAUGUAGGCAUGAGUAACGAUAAUGCGGGAGAGUAACCCGCACACCGCAAGACCAAGGUUUCCUGAUCAACGCUAAUCGGAUCAGGGUUAGUCGGGUCCUAAGGGUAAGCCGAACGGCGAUCUCGAUGGAUAAUCGGUUAAUAUUCCGAUACUGACAUAUACCUCGAUGGAGAGACGAAAUCGCGUAAGUACCGCCUCCUGACGGAAUAGGAGGUUAAAGGGCGUAUGUAUAGGGGCAGAUUAAGAGUCAGUCCUUGCUGAAACCCGACAGUACAGAGAGCCUACGGGCAAUUUGAUAGUGUACCCAAGCAUGUUUCCGAGAAAAUCUUCUAAGUUAUAGUAUAUGUCACCCGUACCGUAAACCGACACAGGUGGUCGAGGAGAGUAUCCUAAGGUGCUCGAGUGAAUCACGGUUAAGGAACUAGGCAAAUUAACCCCGUAACUUCGGGAAAAGGGGUCCCUAUGAAAGUAGGGCGCAGCGAAGAGGUCCAGGCGACUGUUUAUCAAAAACACAGGGCUCUGCAAAUUCGAAAGAAGACGUAUAGGGCCUGACACCUGCCCGGUGCUGGAAGGUUAAGAGGGGAUGUCAUCGCAAGAGAAGCAUUGAAUCGAAGCCCCAGUAAACGGCGGCCGUAACUAUAACGGUCCUAAGGUAGCGAAAUUCCUUGUCGGGUAAGUUCCGAC
RNAcentral lists this ribosomal RNA (1959 nucleotides) under human gut metagenome. Its description in RNAcentral is "bacterial LSU rRNA". It matches the Rfam family "Bacterial large subunit ribosomal RNA", at positions 1 to 1987 of the family's 2925-position model. The record is from RNAcentral.